Long non-coding RNA from Argentina anserina (silverweed cinquefoil), 368 nucleotides. RefSeq lists it as uncharacterized. Lineage: Eukaryota; Viridiplantae; Streptophyta; Magnoliopsida; Rosales; Rosaceae. The record is from RefSeq and is a predicted model, not a curated record. The transcript is spliced from 3 exons.
UUUUGAUCCCUUAAUCGUCAUCCUUCAGGAUUGGGUUCAACUUCUUACUUGUAAAUUAUAGAAGUUCACUGGGAUUUGGUGAGGAAGCACUUCAAUCUCUUCCGGGAAAGUUGGCUCCCAGGCACCAGAUAAGUUUUCUGCGGCUUGUGCAAGGAAUCCUGUUUGUAAUCUUGCAUUGAUGGUUGGUACAACAGACAUCCCUGAUUCGUGCUAUGUGGAGGCCUAUAGAAGUGAAGGUAAACUCUAUUCAGAAGCACCUUCAGCUGAGGAUCUGGCACUUUUUCGCAGCAAGGCUCCUAUUUCACAUAUUAAAGGUAUAUGCUUGUUUAAGCUUCUAUUACUAUAUUAGGGAAUUUGCUCAGGACUUU